This 27-nucleotide non-coding RNA is filed under the name Rattus norvegicus (Norway rat). The record is from RNAcentral. Lineage: Eukaryota; Metazoa; Chordata; Mammalia; Rodentia; Muridae.
UGAAAAGUUGGGGAGCAGUGUUCAGAA